GCGAUCAUACCAGCACUAAAACACCAGAUCCAAUCAGAACUCCAUAGUUAAACGCGUUUGGGCGAGAGCAGUAUUAGGAUCAGUGACUUCUUGGGAAGUCCUCAUGUUGCACUCC
Molecule: non-coding RNA, 115 nt
Organism: Populus tomentosa
Lineage: Eukaryota; Viridiplantae; Streptophyta; Magnoliopsida; Malpighiales; Salicaceae
Source: the annotation of a GenBank genome assembly